UAGCUCAGUCAGUUGAGUGUGGCGUUAGCAACGCCAAGGUCGCAGGUUCGAUUCCCGU
This 58-nucleotide transfer RNA is filed under the name Apaloderma vittatum (bar-tailed trogon). It matches the Rfam family "tRNA", at positions 8 to 63 of the family's 71-position model. Rfam says of the family: Transfer RNA (tRNA) molecules are approximately 80 nucleotides in length. Their secondary structure includes four short double-helical elements and three loops (D, anti-codon, and T loops). The record is from Rfam by way of RNAcentral. Lineage: Eukaryota; Metazoa; Chordata; Aves; Trogoniformes; Trogonidae.